GAUGAACGCUAGCUACAGGCUUAACACAUGCAAGUCGAGGGGCAGCAUUUUAGUUUGCUUGCAAACUAAAGAUGGCGACCGGCGCACGGGUGAGUAACACGUAUCCAACCUGCCGAUAACUCGGGGAUAGCCUUUCGAAAGAAAGAUUAAUAUCCGAUAGUAUAUUAAAUCCGCAUGGUUUUACUAUUAAAGAAUUUCGGUUAUCGAUGGGGAUGCGUUCCAUUAGUUUGUUGGCGGGGUAACGGCCCACCAAGACUACGAUGGAUAGGGGUUCUGAGAGGAAGGUCCCCCACAUUGGAACUGAGACACGGUCCAAACUCCUACGGGAGGCAGCAGUGAGGAAUAUUGGUCAAUGGACGAGAGUCUGAACCAGCCAAGUAGCGUGAAGGAUGACUGCCCUAUGGGUUGUAAACUUCUUUUAUAUGGGAAUAAAGUAUUCCACGUGUGGAAUUUUGUAUGUACCAUAUGAAUAAGGAUCGGCUAACUCCGUGCCAGCAGCCGCGGUAAUACGGAGGAUCCGAGCGUUAUCCGGAUUUAUUGGGUUUAAAGGGAGCGUAGGUGGAUUGUUAAGUCAGUUGUGAAAGUUUGCGGCUCAACCGUAAAAUUGCAGUUGAAACUGGCAGUCUUGAGUACAGUAGAGGUGGGCGGAAUUCGUGGUGUAGCGGUGAAAUGCUUAGAUAUCACGAAGAACUCCGAUAGGGAAGGCAGCUCACUAGACUGCAACUGACACUGAUCCUCAAAAGUGUGGGUAUCAAACAGG
Molecule: ribosomal RNA, 760 nt
Filed under: uncultured bacterium
Lineage: Bacteria
Description: bacterial SSU rRNA
Rfam family: Bacterial small subunit ribosomal RNA
Source: RNAcentral